GGGGCUGUCCGGGCCCCCAGAGGGGCUGUCCGGGCACCGUGAGGGGCUGUCCAGGCACCGUGAGGGGCUGUCCGGGCCCCCAGAGGGGCUGUCCGGACCCCGUGAGGGGCUGUCCGGAUCCCUAGAAGAGCUGUCCGGACCCCCAGAAGGGCUGUCCGAAGCCCCAGAAGGGCUGUCCGGGCCCCGUGAGGGGCUGUCCGGACCCCUAGAAGAGCUGUCCGGACCCCCAGAAGGGCUGUCCGAAGCCCCAGAAGGGCUGUCCGGGCCCCGUGAGGGGCUGUCCGGACCCCGGAGCGACCGCCCGGACCCCGCAGGAACCCCCGGCCGGCCCCGGCGGGGAGAGCGGCAAAGCCCGGCCUGGAUCGCAGCGCGGGCGGAUCGGGCGGCGGCCGCGGGUGUCGGUGCGGUGCCGGGGGGCUCCUCACACGCUGUAAAAUCACCACAAAUGGAGUCUUUCCGUGCGGUGAGACCACCACGGAUGGACCAGGAGCUGCAAAAGAGCCCAGCGUUCUGCUCUGCCCUGUCCAAGAUUUUCAAGUGUGUUUAGAAAGACACCCGACUGCUGCGUUUGAGGAGUGUCUGUGCCACUUCUGUGUCCUGUGUGUUGUAAACUGUGAGUAUUUGUUACGCCUGCACGUAGCUACACUAGAGCUGGACUUCUCCUGGAGAACCUGGAGUUUACUUUUACCUCAGACCUCCAGGGUGCAAAGAUCUUGCUUUGAAGUCAAGUUUCCAAGAAGAAGAAUUCUGUGUUCAAUAUAAUAACGAGGAGCCAGGAUCCUCAUGGAUCCCUACAGACCAUCUGGAACUGGGGAGGAGGCACUGCUGGGACAUCAGAUUUCCAGGAUUUCCACCUCCAGCAGCACCAGGCAAGGAAGCUCAGCCUGCCAGAGCACACUGGGACAGGAGAACAGCCAAGAACUUCUGUGUUUAUCCAGCUCAGUUGUUCGCACUGAGCUCCUGCAGCCCAUUCCCAUCUCCUGCACACCUGGAAAAAUAAGUGAGAAAGGUGAACCUGGUCAAUGAAGAAAACUCUUCAAAUUACAAAGAAUCUGUGGAAAAUGCUGCACCCUUGGCAUUGCUGAAAUCCAAUACCUGUGACAGUGCUGGGAGAAGAAAAGUGAAUUCUUCAGCUCUUAAGAAUGACCAGGAAAAUGCUCAAAUGAAAUAAAUCUACAUUACUAACAGCAAGUGAC
This is a long non-coding RNA of Cyanistes caeruleus (blue tit), 1196 nucleotides long. RefSeq lists it as uncharacterized. NCBI's taxonomy places the organism in Eukaryota, Metazoa, Chordata, Aves, Passeriformes, Paridae. The record is from RefSeq and is a predicted model, not a curated record.